AGAGUUUGAUCAUGGCUCAGGACGAACGCUGGCGGCGUGCCUAAUACAUGCAAGUCGAGCGGAGUUAUGAUGGAGCUUGCUCCUGAUUAAUUCAGCGGCGGACGGGUGAGUAACACGUAGGCAACCUGCCCUUCAGACUGGGAUAACUACCGGAAACGGUAGCUAAUACCGGAUAAUUCCUUUCUUCGCCUGAAGAAAGG
This 200-nucleotide ribosomal RNA is filed under the name uncultured bacterium. Its description in RNAcentral is "partial 16S ribosomal RNA". It matches the Rfam family "Bacterial small subunit ribosomal RNA", at positions 8 to 200 of the family's 1533-position model. The record is from RNAcentral.